This 123-nucleotide small RNA is filed under the name uncultured Coprococcus sp. Its description in RNAcentral is "Ribosomal protein L10 leader". It matches the Rfam family "Ribosomal protein L10 leader", at positions 14 to 134 of the family's 138-position model. From Rfam's summary of the family: This family is a putative r-protein leader autoregulatory structure found in B. subtilis and other low-GC Gram-positive bacteria. It is located in the 5' untranslated regions of mRNAs encoding ribosomal proteins L10 and L12 (rplJ-rplL). A Rho-independent transcription terminator structure that is probably involved in regulation is included at the 3' end. Lineage: Bacteria; Bacillati; Bacillota; Clostridia; Lachnospirales; Lachnospiraceae. The record is from RNAcentral.
UGAACUGCCGAAGACAGUAGGUGCAGAAAUGCAUAAGUUGGAAACGCCUACCGAGGAAAGAUAUCGUUAAUGUAGAUUUAACUAUAUGCUCUCUGUCUUUUGGACAGGGAGCUUUCUUUAUAU